Molecule: ribosomal RNA, 253 nt
Filed under: uncultured bacterium
Lineage: Bacteria
Description: partial 16S ribosomal RNA
Rfam family: Bacterial small subunit ribosomal RNA
Source: RNAcentral
UACGUAGGGGGCAAGCGUUAUCCGGAUUUACUGGGUGUAAAGGGAGCGUAGACGGCAGCGCAAGUCUGGAGUGAAAUGCCGGGGCUCAACCCCGGAACUGCUUUGGAAACUGUGCAGCUAGAGUGCGGGAGAGGUAAGCGGAAUUCCUAGUGUAGCGGUGAAAUGCGUAGAUAUUAGGAGGAACACCAGUGGCGAAGGCGGUCUGCUGGACAGCAACUGACGCUGAGGCGCGAAAGCGUGGGGAGCAAACAGG